CUACGGGCGGCACCAGUGGGGAAUAUUGGACAAUGGGGGAAACCCUGAUCCAGCAAUGCCGCGUGUGUGAAGAAGGCCUGCGGGUUGUAAAGCACUUUCGGUUGGGAGGACUGCUUCUAGCACUAAUAUUGUUGGAAGUUGACGUUACCUUCAGAAGAAGCACCGGCUAGCUCCGUGCCAGCAGCCGCGGUAAUACGGAGGGUGCAAGCGUUAAUCGGAAUUACUGGGCGUAAAGCGCGCGUAGGCGGCUAGAUCAGUCGGGUGUGAAAGCCCCGGGCUUAACCUGGGAACUGCAUCCGAUACUGGCUAGCUUGAGUAAAGGAGAGGAGAGUGGAAUUCCACAUGUAGUGGUGAAAUGCGUAGAUAUGUGGAGGAACACCAAUGGCGAAGGCAGCGCCCUGGUCUGAUACUGAUGCGGAGGUGCGAACGCGUGGGGAGAAACGAGGAUUAGAUACCCCAGUAGUC
RNAcentral lists this ribosomal RNA (465 nucleotides) under uncultured bacterium. RNAcentral describes it as "partial 16S ribosomal RNA". It matches the Rfam family "Bacterial small subunit ribosomal RNA", at positions 339 to 795 of the family's 1533-position model. The record is from RNAcentral.